Molecule: ribosomal RNA, 350 nt
Filed under: uncultured bacterium
Lineage: Bacteria
Description: bacterial SSU rRNA
Rfam family: Bacterial small subunit ribosomal RNA
Source: RNAcentral
AGAGUUUGAUCCUGGCUCAGGAUGAACGCUAGCUACAGGCUUAACACAUGCAAGUCGAGGGGCAGGCAUGGUCUUAGCUUGCUAAGGCCGAUGGCGACCGGCGCACGGGUGAGUAACGCGUAUCCAACCUGCCUUACACUCUUGGACAGCCUUCUGAAAGGGAGAUUAAUACAAGAUGUUAUCAUGAGUAAGCAUUUUCGCAUGAUUAAAGGUUUACCGGUGUAAGAUGGGGAUGCGUUCCAUUAGAUAGUAGGGCGGGUAACGGCCACCUAGUCUUCGAUGGAUAGGGGUUCUGAGAGGAAGGUCCCCCANAUUGGAACUGAGACACGGUCCAAACUCCUACGGGAGCA